Molecule: ribosomal RNA, 460 nt
Filed under: uncultured bacterium
Lineage: Bacteria
Description: bacterial SSU rRNA
Rfam family: Bacterial small subunit ribosomal RNA
Source: RNAcentral
AUGAACGCUGGCGGCGUGGAUAAGGCAUGCAAGUCAAGGGGUUACUGAAGCCGCAAGGCUGAAGUAAAACCGGCAGACGAGGUAGUAAUAAUCAAGUAUGUACCAGAGAGUCGGGCAUAGCCAUCCGAAAGGGUGGGUAAAUCCCGAUGGCCUCCGAGACGCAAGUCUAGGAGUAAAAAUUUAUUGCUCUCUGAACAGCUUGAUCGGUAUCAGCUAGUUGGCGAGGUAAAAGCUCACCAAGGCUAUGACGCCUAGGGGACCUGAGAGGGUGACCCCCACCGAUGGGACUGAGACACGGCCCAUACACCUACGGGUGGCUGCAGUCGAGAAUCUUCCGCAAUGGACGAAAGUCUGACGGAGCGACGCCGCGUGGAGGAUGAAGUUCUUCGGAAUGUAAACUCCUUUUGCCAGGGAAAAAGUUAUUGAUUGUACCUGGAGAAUAAGAAGUUGCUAAACUCGU